AGAGUUUGAUCCUGGCUCAGAGCGAACGCUGGCGGCAGGCUUAACACAUGCAAGUCGAGCGCCCCGCAAGGGGAGCGGCAGACGGGAGAGUAACACGUGGGAACGUACCUUUCAGUUCGGAACAACACAGGGAAACUUGUGCUAAUACCGGAUACGCCCGUAAGGGGAAAGAUUUAUCGCUGAAAGAUCGGCCCGCGUCU
This 200-nucleotide ribosomal RNA is filed under the name uncultured bacterium. RNAcentral's name for it is "partial 16S ribosomal RNA". It matches the Rfam family "Bacterial small subunit ribosomal RNA", at positions 8 to 238 of the family's 1533-position model. The record is from RNAcentral.